UACGAAGGGAGCUAGCGUUGUUCGGAAUCACUGGGCGUAAAGCGCUCGUAGGCGGAUGUGUCAGUCAGGGGUGAAAUCCCGGAGCUCAACUUCGGAACUGCCUUUGAUACAGCACGUCUUGAGUCCGAUAGAGGUGGGUGGAAUUCCUAGUGUAGAGGUGAAAUUCGUAGAUAUUAGGAAGAACACCGGUGGCGAAGGCGGCCCACUGGAUCGGUACUGACGCUGAGGUGCGAAAGCGUGGGGAGCAAACAGG
Molecule: ribosomal RNA, 253 nt
Filed under: uncultured bacterium
Lineage: Bacteria
Description: partial 16S ribosomal RNA
Rfam family: Bacterial small subunit ribosomal RNA
Source: RNAcentral